Long non-coding RNA from Cygnus olor (mute swan), 2187 nucleotides. RefSeq lists it as uncharacterized. NCBI's taxonomy places the organism in Eukaryota, Metazoa, Chordata, Aves, Anseriformes, Anatidae. The transcript has 4 exons. The record is from RefSeq and is a predicted model, not a curated record.
AAAAUUACUAAACAAUAAGACUAAAACCAAGGGAAACUAAGUAGUUAAAGAAAUAAUGUUUCCAUACAGAAUUUCCAUAAAUGUUAGGGUUUCAGAAGUCCUAGCUGUGAACUAGUAUAACUGUUAUUUCUAGUACUGAUGUUAUUUUCUCCAAUAUAACUUGUAAUUUAUGUACUUUUCUACUCAAGAAAGAAAAACAAUGGAAAAGAAAUUGCAUGUAUGAGUCUGAAAGUAAGUCCUGCAGCAUGCUUUUCAGUUGUGUGCAGCAAGGAAGGAAAACACAACAUAACUACAUGAAUGAAACAAAGAAAGUUAUCCACACCGAUGGAACUGGAAGGACUAAUGAGUUAGCUGUCAUCUGCACUACAUCAGCCCAAAAACCUGUCUAGUCUGGUAGCAAAAUACCAAAAGCCUUGAAAAACGUCAAUUGGUAUGGCAGGAACCCAGUAAUAUGACCUCCCUGUAAUGUCACAGAUUUACCAAGCAAAAGCUUCAGUUUCUUCUUUGAAGACAUCUUGCCCCUCCCAGAGUUUGGAGAAGGAAGCUGAAAUGUGAGAGGUGGCUCGUUCUGGGGCACGCAUGCAUGACUCCAAAUAGAAUUUGUGUCUGCUCUUUGGAUUGUAAACUGGGCCACGCUAAUUGCUGUAAUCUCAGCCUCUUCAGACAGCAGGAAGCAUGUUCGUUUACAAGCAUAUGCUACAUCUCACAUCGUACUCUUCCAGAUAAUGCCAGUCACAGAUUAAAGGUAACCUUUAACUUGGCCCUAAUAAUAAGGCAACAUAAAGGUGCAGAAGGCGGCUGCUGCAGCUUCACUGGUAUCCUUCAGAUAAAAUGAUUAAAAUUACAUCUUUCAUUUGGUACAAGAGUCAUUUAACAGAACACUGUAAACAGAUCAAUGUCUCCUGCUUUGCGUCAGCAUCUCUAUAGUAGCAAGAGACAAUUAUCGUGUAGCAUCCUAUUCAACAGCCAUCACCUAGCUUGUAAUGCAGUCUUUAAACUAAGGUCAUCUUUGUCUUCAACGCAGAGACUCAUUUUUUUCAUACUUUUUGUACUUCUUUUUCUUCUCUCAAGUCCACAUUCUAGGCCUGAAUGUCACAGUAGGUCUAAGUGAACUGUGCCUAAAAAAGAGGGGAAUUUCGUGGGCAAUUUUGGAAGGCGCAGUUUGGGCAGAUGUGAGGAAAAGUAAUAUUUAUUCAGAACUCUUUCUCUGAGUUUGUGGAUAAGGGCACAUCCAGCACUGAAGUGUUUAGUUCUAGCUACUUAAUGCUGUUUGCUGCUCACGAAUACCAUGUCUCUGCCCUACAGCCUUAUUUCAGCAUCAGAAUGUCAAUCAUACCAUAUGCUUUUGCAUAGUCAUUUUUAAACGUAACACCACUUUCUUACUGCUUUGUCAGCUUGCUGUAUGCCAUACUCAGUUGUGUUGGCUGGUAGAACAGUGUUAUUAGCAUGCUACGAGUAAACCUGUUGACAAUAUUUUUGGUUUUGCUUGAAACUUCUCCUGUUUCUUGUUGCCAACAAAUUUUGCUUUUCUGAUGCCUUACAUUAUCUACACCUUAAAGCUGUACUUUAAUCCUUUUGGUCUAACUAUUGAUUUCUCUAGUGAUGGGAAGGGUACAUACUUGCUUUUAAGGGAGUUGAUUUUAAAACCAUUAGAGGUGUUUCUGUGGAUGUCUAUUAAAUUUUGAUUUUGCUAAUAGACAAGGUCAGUUCUACACUGCACCUUUCAGCAACUGUCAUCAUAUUAGAGUAACCCUAAAACGCUCCAGGUAGUUGAGCUGCUCUGAGUUACUGAGGCCAUUACUGCACACAUCUGCUAUCCCAUAUGAACCACUGGCAUUAACAACAAGCAGCUCUUCAUUGAAUCGCAGAAUCACUAAGGUUGGAAAAGCCCUCCAAGCUCAUCGGGUCCAACCAUCCACCUACCACCAAUGUCACCCACUAACCCAUGUCCCCAGGCACCACGUCCAACCUUCCCUUGAACACCCCCCAGGCACCGUGACUCCACCGCUUCCCUGGGCAACCCCUUCCACUGCCUGACCACUCUUCCAGCACUGAGUUUGUGAUAGUAAAGACUCUUACUGUGAUCUUCCAAGUGCAUUUGCUGUUCGGAGGGUAGACUCCAGGAAACCCUUCGCUCCCAAUAAACCCCGACUCUCCAGACACAACUCCUCCACAUGCAAAGGUAGG